This 1465-nucleotide ribosomal RNA is filed under the name uncultured organism. RNAcentral describes it as "SSU rRNA". It matches the Rfam family "Bacterial small subunit ribosomal RNA". The record is from RNAcentral.
AGAUUGAACGCUGGCGGCAGGCCUAACACAUGCAAGUCGAGCGGUAGCACAGAGAGCUUGCUCUCGGGUGACGAGCGGCGGACGGGUGAGUAAUGUCUGGGAAACUGCCUGAUGGAGGGGGAUAACUACUGGAAACGGUAGCUAAUACCGCAUAAUGUCGCAAGACCAAAGUGGGGGACCUUCGGGCCUCAUGCCAUCAGAUGUGCCCAGAUGGGAUUAGCUAGUAGGUGGGGUAACGGCUCACCUAGGCGACGAUCCCUAGCUGGUCUGAGAGGAUGACCAGCCACACUGGAACUGAGACACGGUCCAGACUCCUACGGGAGGCAGCAGUGGGGAAUAUUGCACAAUGGGCGCAAGCCUGAUGCAGCCAUGCCGCGUGUGUGAAGAAGGCCUUCGGGUUGUAAAGCACUUUCAGCGGGGAGGAAGGCGUUAAGGUUAAUAACCUUGGCGAUUGACGUUACCCGCAGAAGAAGCACCGGCUAACUCCGUGCCAGCAGCCGCGGUAAUACGGAGGGUGCAAGCGUUAAUCGGAAUUACUGGGCGUAAAGCGCACGCAGGCGGUCUGUCAAGUCGGAUGUGAAAUCCCCGGGCUCAACCUGGGAACUGCAUUCGAAACUGGCAGGCUAGAGUCUUGUAGAGGGGGGUAGAAUUCCAGGUGUAGCGGUGAAAUGCGUAGAGAUCUGGAGGAAUACCGGUGGCGAACGCGGCCUCCUGGACAAAGACUGACGCUCAGGUGGGAAAGCGUGGGGAGCAAACAGGAUUAGAUACCCUGGUAGUCCACGCCGUAAACGAUGUCGAUUUGGAGGUUGUGCCCUUGAGGCGUGGCUUCCGGAGCUAACGCGUUAAAUCGACCGCCUGGGGAGUACGGCCGCAAGGUUAAAACUCAAAUGAAUUGACGGGGGCCCGCACAAGCGGUGGAGCAUGUGGUUUAAUUCGAUGCAACGCGAAGAACCUUACCUGGUCUUGACAUCCACAGAACUUUCCAGAGAUGGAUUGGUGCCUUCGGGAACUGUGAGACAGGUGCUGCAUGGCUGUCGUCAGCUCGUGUUGUGAAAUGUUGGGUUAAGUCCCGCAACGAGCGCAACCCUUAUCCUUUGUUGCCAGCGGUUCGGCCGGGAACUCAAAGGAGACUGCCAGUGAUAAACUGGAGGAAGGUGGGGAUGACGUCAAGUCAUCAUGGCCCUUACGACCAGGGCUACACACGUGCUACAAUGGCAUAUACAAAGAGAAGCGACCUCGCGAGAGCAAGCGGACCUCAUAAAGUAUGUCGUAGUCCGGAUUGGAGUCUGCAACUCGACUCCAUGAAGUCGGAAUCGCUAGUAAUCGUAGAUCAGAAUGCUACGGUGAAUACGUUCCCGGGCCUUGUACACACCGCCCGUCACACCAUGGGAGUGGGUUGCAAAAGAAGUAGGUAGCUUAACCUUCGGGAGGGCGCUUACCACUUUGUGAUUCAUGACUGGGGUGA